RNAcentral lists this small nuclear RNA (21 nucleotides) under Arabidopsis thaliana (thale cress). RNAcentral's name for it is "snRNA_00008". The record is from RNAcentral. Lineage: Eukaryota; Viridiplantae; Streptophyta; Magnoliopsida; Brassicales; Brassicaceae.
UCUCCAUAAAAUGGAAGUUAA